GACGAACGCUGGCGGCGUGCUUAAUACAUGCAAGUCGAACGAAAAGACCCUGCUUUUGUUGGUUUCUCGAUUGGCGAGCGGGGGAGUAACACGUGAGUAACCUGCCCUUAUCUUUGGGAUAACUCCAGGAAACUGGGGCUCAUACCGCAUAGGAUAUCCUGAUCCAUGUUGUUCGUUGGUAAGAUUCGGCGGUUGGGGAUGUACUCGCGGCUUAUGCGCUGCUUGGUGUGGUAGGUGCUUACCAGGGCUGUGACGGGUAGCCGGCAUGAGAGAGUGACCGGCGACCAGGGUACUGAGAGACGGCGCAGAAGCGAAUGGGAGGCAGCAGGGGGGAAUAUUGCAGAAUGGGCGGAAGCCUGAGGUAGAAACGCCGCGUGCGGGAUGACGGCCUUCUGGUGGUAAACCGAUGUCGCCGGUGACGAAGAGUGCGUGACGGUAAUGGGUAAAGAAGCACCGGCUAACUACGUG
Molecule: ribosomal RNA, 468 nt
Filed under: uncultured bacterium
Lineage: Bacteria
Description: partial 16S ribosomal RNA
Rfam family: Bacterial small subunit ribosomal RNA
Source: RNAcentral